UUUGGAGGUAGCAAUAUUUUCAAGUCGGAGUGGCGCAAGGGUGCGUAACACGUGGGCAAUCUGCCGUGAAGCCUGGAAUAACUCGCUGAAAGGCGAGCUAAUACCGGAUGUGAACGCAAGUUCAAAGCUGGGGACCGCAAGGCCUGGCACUUUACGAUGAGCCCGCGGCCUAUCAGCUAGUUGGUGAGGUAACGGCCCACCAAGGCUAAGACGGGUAGCUGGUCUGAGAGGACGACCAGCCACACUGGAACUGAGACACGGUCCAGACACCUACGGGUGGCAGCAGUCGAGAAUUUUUCUCAAUGGGCGAAAGCCUGAAGGAGCGACGCCGCGUGGGGGAGGAAUGGCUUCGGCCCGUAAACCCCUGUCAUUUGCGAACAAAUUGGUUCACCCAACACGUGAACCAUUGAUAGUAGCGGAAGAGGAAGGGACGGCUAACUCUGUGCCAGCAGCCGCGGUAAUACAGAGGUCCCAAGCGUUGUUCGGAUUCACUGGGCGUAAAGGGUGCGUAGGUGGUCGGGUAAGUCUGUUGUGAAAUCUCCGAGCUUAACUCGGAAAUGGCAGUGGAUACUAUCCGGCUAGAGGAAUGGAGGGGAGACUGGAAUACUUGGUGUAGCAGUGAAAUGCGUAGAUAUCAAGUGGAACACCAG
RNAcentral lists this ribosomal RNA (650 nucleotides) under uncultured bacterium. RNAcentral describes it as "bacterial SSU rRNA". It matches the Rfam family "Bacterial small subunit ribosomal RNA", at positions 69 to 712 of the family's 1533-position model. The record is from RNAcentral.